This 73-nucleotide transfer RNA is filed under the name bacterium. Its description in RNAcentral is "tRNA-Arg". It matches the Rfam family "tRNA". Rfam says of the family: Transfer RNA (tRNA) molecules are approximately 80 nucleotides in length. Their secondary structure includes four short double-helical elements and three loops (D, anti-codon, and T loops). The record is from RNAcentral. RNAcentral also lists the same sequence under 1 other name.
GCCCCCGUAGUUAAAUGGAUUAUAACAGUCCCGUCCUAAGGGAUAGUUGUCAGUUCGAUUCUGGCCGGGGGCA